AGCAGCCGCGGUAAUUCCAGCUCCAAUAGCGUAUAUUAAAGUUGUUGCAGUUAAAAAGCUCGUAGUUGAAUUUCGGGAUCAGUACGCUGGUCGUGCCUUUGAUAUGUACUGGUGUCACUGAUUCCUCCCUUCUGAAGAACCGUUAUGCCAUUUAUUUGGUGUGGCGGGGAAUCAGGACUGUUACUUUGAAAAAAUUAGAGUGUUUAAAGCAGGCUCGCGCUUGAAUACAUUAGCAUGGAAUAAUGAAAUAGGACGUUUGAUCUUAUUUUGUUGGUUUCUAGGAUCGACGUAAUGAUUAAUAGGGAUAGUUGGGGGCAUUAGUAUUCAAUUGUCAGAGGUGAAAUUCUUGGAUUUAUUGAAGACUAACUACUGCGAAAGCAUUUGCCAAGGAUGUUUUCAUUAAUCAAGAACGAAAGUUAGGGGAUCGAAGACGAUCAGAUACCGUCGUAGUCUUAACCAUAAACUAUGCCGACUAGGGAUCGGAUGAUGUUAUUUUAAUGA
RNAcentral lists this ribosomal RNA (501 nucleotides) under uncultured Glomus. Its description in RNAcentral is "SSU rRNA". It matches the Rfam family "Eukaryotic small subunit ribosomal RNA", at positions 569 to 1074 of the family's 1831-position model. Lineage: Eukaryota; Fungi; Glomeromycota; Glomeromycetes; Glomerales; Glomeraceae. The record is from RNAcentral.